Molecule: long non-coding RNA, 3022 nt
Organism: Spinacia oleracea (spinach)
Lineage: Eukaryota; Viridiplantae; Streptophyta; Magnoliopsida; Caryophyllales; Amaranthaceae
Exons: 4
Source: RefSeq, a predicted model, not a curated record
UUCACGCACAAAUAAUACCAAAGAAAUCGACGUAUGAUUUUGGUAUUCCGGCCGAGUGUCUCUCCAGUUCUUUAACCUCUACUUCCUCCACCGCCAUCGCCGCUUCUGGCCGCCUCACCUACUAGUUCCUCCCUUCAUUAAUCCGAUCAAUUGUAGAGAAAUGAAGAUACUCGCCGUAUUAUUGCCGCCUUCUCAGCACGUCCUGGCCUUUCGCCUCCCAGCAAUAGCAGCGGCGCCAGCGAAGUCGGUACAAUACCGAGGAGGUAACUAUCGUUUACAUUUUGAAGGUCUUGAAAGGUACAAGGAGAGUAGAACCUCCAGCCGCCUGCUUGUCUCGGUAUUUUGUAGCCGUGUGAUUGAUAACAUCGAAAAAUGAUCAAAUCUUUUGAUCUAGUUCUUGUUGUACGUCUUUGUAGGAUAAAGUUGUCAUUUUGGCUGUUAUAUCAUUACAUGCUUGAAACUGAUUCUCAAUUAUCUGUGAUAUAUAUAGUGUGCUUGGCCUACAGCCUACUCAGUUUAAUUUCAUUUAGCUGGGAUAAUCUUGCUCCUCCCCUCUUUAAGGUUUUUAUGGUUUUUCUGCUUAUCUUUUUUGAAAAAUCUCCCCAGGAUUUGAGAUUUAGAGAACUUUCAUCAUUCUCUACGUGUGUCAUUCAUGAACUCUGGACAGUGAACAAUGAGUUAUUUAAAUUGUAGAUUUUAAAUGUGUUUGUCUCGUUUGAGUUGUCUGCUUAGUAUUACUAUUUUCUUUCUUUGCCCUUCUUUCUUGAGUUUUCGAUAAUAUUAGGAUAUACAUGCGCUUCUUAUUCAUCCUGCAGUGAGCAUUGAUACAUCAUUUGGUUAAGUUGUUUGGCUAUGUGAUACUGAUAAGGGACAAGGAGACAACAAGAGAAGACUUAUUGAUACAUGUAUUCUGAAAUAAAGAUAGUACCCUUUGCUGAAAAUGAUUACUCCCUUUUAUCCUUUCUGUUUGCACCAUCCCCCUUCUCAUACCUUGUAGGCUUAUUUAAUCAAGAAAGGAGUAUCACUGAAUAAGUAGUGGUUUGAAUUUGGACCUCCUCCUAUGAACUGUGAUUAUCCCUUUUAUAUUAAACUAGGGAAAGACUACUUAGGAGUUGUCUAUACAAAAUUCUCGAGUUUGCUUUCAAGAUUUAAUUCAAUCUACGAUACUAAUGAAUUUCAGACUGUUGGCUAGAUUUGCCUACUUGAAUACGGAGUAGAUAAUUAAUCUACAUGGAUGGACUGUCUGUAACAGGAUUAGGUGGAUUUUCCAGCUUCUGUUAUGAUGCAUAUCUAGGUUCCCUAUGUCCCGUGUUGGUCUUGAAUUUUAGUAGAGCAGAAUCCUCCAAUCAUGUUACUGAUUUUAGUUAACGAGGGUCAUGUCUUUAUGCGUGUAUGCUAUAAUACCAAUAGUAUGUGUUAACCUCAGAAAGAUAAGAUUUGUGUUUCGAGGCUGUUGAAUGUUCCCUCUAUAGUAACCAUCUAUUAUGGGUUAGGAUUAUUUUUCUUGGUUUGAUAACUUAUUUGGCAAAACAAGAUUCUCUCUCUAUCUCUGUCUUGCGAUUAUUGAAAUUUAUGAUGGCUUAAGUCAUGUCAGAGACCUUCAGACUUUUUUUCUCUCUGUAAACACUUUACUAUCAAAAUAUUGUUUUGAAGUCAUCUAACUUCACUAUUGCUUGUUCAAAAGUUCCAUAAAAGAAAUGACAAUUACCAGCCCUAAUGGUGCUUUACUGUAGUAGCUAACUGAUAGGUGCUGGGAGUAACUUGAACCCAAUAUGUUAUGGGGUUGUAGUAGCAUUAUUGAUUCUCACUCAAGAGUUGAAAAUUACAGUUCUAUUUCUUUCUCUUCAUGUUUGUCCGUUCACAUUCUCGCCUUUUAUUUUGGGUAUUCAACUUUAACUAGGCGAUGUAAUCUUCUGAUUGUGUAUGGACUUUAUGGUGUAGCAUCGGUAGCUCCAUUGAAGAACUAUAUGGCAGACGUAGCACUCAAGUUACACUCUUCAAGUGCUUGCUAUUUGAAUACGGAGUAUUCAUAAAUAACUAUUACAAAGUUACAAAUCAUUGAGGGUAGCAAGUUAGCAUGGAGAUCCACAUGGAUCGAAUAGCUUUUAUGCUGUUACUUGCUACCAUGAAAUGUCCAAGGAAGAAGAAAAAAAAAAGAGAUCUAUGCACCAAUAUAUAUCAUAUUGCUUCAGCAAUUCACCAAAAUAGUUUCUGUCGAACCGGAGGUAUGGAAGAGUAAAAGUUUCGAGAAGAGGUAGUGAUGUUGCCUGUGGCUGUGACGGCUUCCGUCUGGUGGAAGCUAUAUCCGAGACAGACGCCAUCUUGGUGCGUUUGUUCUUACAGCAACCAACACCAACAGGGACGUUACGGUGGGUACCACCUUGAGUCCAGUACCUCCUACAGCCCCUACAGGGCUACAGAAGUACCUAGGUUGAGACAAGCUGUAGUUUUGUGAUAACAGAACUUGUUUAUCAGCUGAGUCACAGCUGGGACAGAGGUGUGGUAACGAGUUGUUGUCGUGUCCAUCGUCGCGUCCCCCACCAGCAUCCUGACCUUGCCACUCGCUGUGUUUAUCCUCUCCACCUCCAGCACCAGCACCAGCACCACCGCCACCGCCACCAGCACCACCACCACCGCUACCGCCACCAUCACCCAAUAAUCUGUUCCAUUUUUUGGUUAGGUUUUGGGUAAAAGUUGGUUACCCAAUAAUCUGUUCCAUUUUUUGGUUAGGUUUUGGGUAAAAAUUGGUUGUUCACUUGUUUGUGAGCACAACCAAAGAGUUCUAGCUCUUAGGCUCUUAGGCUCUUAGGCUCUAGCUAUGUAGAGACUAGAGUAGAACUUGCAAAUUGAAAGUAGGGCAAGCAGAAAGAGGUUGUCACCUAAUUCUCUUGCAUAAAAGCUAUGAUCAAAUGUGUUGAAUCGAUCAAACUUAAUUGUAGUGAUAUUUAUAGUUUAUAAAGACUAGAGGUUCUUACAAUGUUAGUUCUCAUACAUUUAAGGUAUGAUAUCAGCUAUUUAUUGA